Molecule: long non-coding RNA, 2521 nt
Organism: Bos taurus (domestic cattle)
Lineage: Eukaryota; Metazoa; Chordata; Mammalia; Artiodactyla; Bovidae
Source: Ensembl
AACGGCUGUUAAGGGCUCCUUUGGGGCUAUCCUAAAAUAGACAAAACUGAAAUUUGGGGCAAGAGUGAGAUGAAGCCCAAUGACAGGAGAAAGUCAGUGACACGAACAAAAGGAAGAUCAUUGACGUCAUUCACGUCAGUCAUCGGCAAAGUUGGCAAAAGGAGGCCGUAGAGCAAAACCUGUGCAUGGAAGCCCUGGCCUGCUUUAGCGUGGUUUGGAGCAUCCUCAAGGAAAUGGCAACCCACUCCAGUACUCUUGCCUGGAGAAUCCCAUGGACGGAGGAGCCUCGGCGGCUACAGUCCACGGGGUCGCAAAGAGUCGGACACAACUGAGCGACUUCACUCACUCAAGAUUUUUAAUAAGGAUCACAACCGACGGGCAGGCUGGAGGCGGAGAUGCAGGAGCAAACGACAUCAGAAAGGUCAGAGCAGCUCUGUUUGUUUUUCCAAACUGUCAGAGUAAAGUUACAACGUGCCACCUGGGUAAGCCACUAGCAAAGUCCCCGGAUGACGUCCACUGUAACCGCAGGGAUUUCUCACAGUGGGGAUUGCUAGAAGAAGAAUUUGCUUGGGGGAAGGGAGCUGCCAGAAACCAGCCCCAGCGAAGCACCGGGAUGGCUCAAUGCUUGACAUGACAACGGUCUUAUUUUUAAUCCUCAACCAGACCCUCUGAGGCACAGACUCUGAUGGCAAGAGUCCCCUCUCUCGAGCCUCAGCCAUCAGAAAGAGCUACGGACAAAGGAAAAUGCACACUAAUUUAAGACUCAUUCUGAUUACUGACCAAGCCCCAUCUCUGUAGGUGCCACCUGUGCUGAGACCACCUCCCUCCACCAUUCUGCAACUCCCAGCCUCCUCCGCGCACAGUGACGUCAUUUCCUGGUUUUACUUCUGGAUGGUUCUCCAGUCUGCCUACGGUCACACCAAAACUACGCAGCUCCUUCUGAGCCAGGCAGUGGGCACCCAGCAUGGCAGAGCUCACUUGUGAAGCUGGGUAAGUGCGGUUCACUCCGGAAGUGCCUAGACCCUACUGCACUGCCUUGCGUCUUCAUAUUUCAGGCUUUCAAAUCACCUUGCUGCUGCCACGCAGAUAAAGUGGAAGCCUGUUCUACAUCCUGCAGCAAUUUUCAUGUGGGGAAAUAAUAAUAUAGGACAAAGAAUUAUUGAUGUCACCGUCUAGGUCGUAGCUUGAAUCCAUCUUUCCCUACAGAUACUCUGUUGAUUUAAUUGAAGGGAAGCCCAAAUGAUAAUAAAACAGAUGAUAAUGAACACGCUAGCAAUAGCGAACCUUCCCAGAGUACUUUCUCUAAACCAGACGCUGUGCUUUCAUGACUAAAACCAUGAUCGCAAACUGGGUUACUGUGAACCCAGCUUCCGAAGGAGGUGGAUCCCUCAGUUAGGCCCAUUUUACAAAGAAGGAAAUUGAAACCUGGAGAGGUUAAGGAACCAUCCUGAGAGUCAGAAUACUUCAGGGACCUCCCUGAUGGUGCAGUGGCUGAGACUCCACGCUCCCAGUGCAGGGGACUGGCCUCAACCCCUGGUCAGGGAACUAGAUCCCAUGUGAUGCAACCAAGAGUCCAAGCUGCGACAAAGACCUGGCCCAGCUAAACUAAACAUAUGAAUAUAGGACGAUAUCUAGUGUGCAUGGGUGACGGUGUUAGCUGCUCAGUGGUGUCAGACUCUUUGUGACUUCAUGGACUGCAGCCCGCUAGACUCCUCUGUCCAUGGAAUUCUCCAGGCAAGAAUACUCUAGUGGGUUGCCAUUCCCUUCUCCAGGGAAUCUUCCCCAUCCAGGAAUCGAACCCAGGUCUCCUGCACUGCAGGCAGAUUCUUUUUUUAAAUUUAUUUUUUUAUUGAAGGAUAAUUGCUUUACAGAAUUUUGUUGUUUUCUGUCAAACCUUAACAUGAAUCAGCCAUAGGUAUACAUAUAUCCCCUGCCUUUUGAACCUCCCUCCUGUCCCCCUCCCCGUCCUUCCCCUCUAGGUUGAUACAGAGCCCCUGUUUGAGUUUCCUGAGACAUGCAGCAAAUUCCUGGUGGCUGUCUAUUUCACAUAUGGUGAUGUAAGCUUCCAUGUUUCUCUUUCCAUACAUCUCCCCCUCUCCUCUCCUCCCCUCUCCCCCAUCUGUAAGUCUAUUCUCUAUGUCUGUUUCUCCAUUGCUGCCCUGUAAAUAAAGUCUUCGCCUAUAUAUGUGUACAUAUAUUUUUAAAAAAGGAUAAUUCAGUCUUAGUCCUAGCCCUACCACCAACAAGCCUUAUAAUUAUAGUCCAAAAUACAAAUCCAAGUCCUAAUCCUUGGUACCUUGAACAUGACCUUAUUUGGAAAAAGGGUCUUUGCAAAUAAUAUUAAGUUGAAGAACUCGGGAUGAGAUAAUUCUGGAUCACUUGUGUAGAUCUUAAAUUCAGUGACAAAAGUUCUUGUAAGAAAAGGAGAAGACAGAGAUGCAGAAAGGAAGUCCGUGUGAAGACAGAGGCAGAGACUGGAGUGAUGUGGCCACAAGCCAAGAAAUGCAAGGAGCACCCAGGA